ACAUAUCAAUAAGCGGAGGAAAAGAAACCAACAGGGAUUGCCCCAGUAACGGCGAGUGAAGCGGCAACAGCUCAAAUUUGAAAUCUGGCCUCGGCCCGAGUUGUAAUUUGCAGAGGAUGCUUCUGGCGCGGCGCCUUCCGAGUUCCCUGGAACGGGACGCCACAGAGGGUGAGAGCCCCGUAUGGUCGGACGCCAAGCCAGUGUGAAGCUCCUUCGAAGAGUCGAGUAGUUUGGGAAUGCUGCUCUAAGCGGGAGGUAUACGUCUUCUAAAGCUAAAUACCGGCCAGAGACCGAUAGCGCACAAGUAGAGUGAUCGAAAGAUGAAAAGCACCUUGAAAAGGGGGUUAAACAGUACGUGAAAUUGUUGAAAGGGAAGCGCCUGUGACCAGACUUGCGCCGGGCGGAUCAUCCAGCGUUCUCGCUGGUGCGCUCCGCCCGGCUCAGGCCAGCAUCGGUUCUGGCGGGGGGAUAAAGGCGGCGGGAACGUGGCUCCCCCGGGAGUGUUAUAGCCCGCCGUGCAAUGCCCCCGCCGGGACCGAGGUUCGCGCAUCUGCAAGGAUGCUGGCGUAAUGGUCACCAGCGACCCGUCUUGAAACACGGACCAAGGAGUCGUCCAUUACGGCGAGCGUUUGGGUGUAAAACCCCUGCGCGGAAUGAAAGUAAACGUAGGUGAGAGCUUCGGCGCAUCAUCGACCGAUCCUGAUGUACUCGGAUGGAUUUGAGUAAGAGUCGUACCGGACGGACCCGAAAGAUGGUGAACUAUGCCUGUAUAGGGUGAAGCCAGAGGAAACUCUGGUGGAGGCUCGCAGCGGUUCUGACGUGCAAAUCGAUCGUCAAAUAUGGGCAUGGGGGGCGAAAGACUAAUCGAACCAUCUAGUAGCUGGUACCGC
Molecule: ribosomal RNA, 890 nt
Filed under: Pleurostoma richardsiae
Lineage: Eukaryota; Fungi; Ascomycota; Sordariomycetes; Calosphaeriales; Pleurostomataceae
Description: LSU rRNA
Rfam family: Eukaryotic large subunit ribosomal RNA
Source: RNAcentral